GCCGCCUAGCUCAGUCGGUAGAGCGCAAGGCUCUUAACUUUGUGUACCUGGGUUCAAGUCCCAGGGUGGGCG
Molecule: transfer RNA, 72 nt
Organism: Ipomoea nil (Japanese morning glory)
Lineage: Eukaryota; Viridiplantae; Streptophyta; Magnoliopsida; Solanales; Convolvulaceae
Rfam family: tRNA
About the family: Transfer RNA (tRNA) molecules are approximately 80 nucleotides in length. Their secondary structure includes four short double-helical elements and three loops (D, anti-codon, and T loops).
Source: Rfam